AGCAUAAGUCGGACCUGCCUCUCACGCAAUGGAUCCCCUGGCGGCAACCCGAGACCGGUUCUCCUACCCGCAUUCCGCCAAGUCUCUCGCUCUGCCCAGGACGCACAGAUGAGAGCGCUCCGAAGACUGAUUCAGGGCAGGAUCCUGCUCCUGACCAUCUGCGCUGCCGGCAUUGGUGGGACUUUUCAGUUUGGCUAUAACCUCUCUAUCAUCAAUGCCCCGACCUUGCACAUUCAGGAAUUCACCAAUGAGACAUGGCAGGCGCGUACUGGAGAGCCACUGCCCGAUCACCUAGUCCUGCUUAUGUGGUCCCUCAUCGUGUCUCUGUAUCCCCUGGGAGGCCUCUUUGGAGCACUGCUUGCAGGUCCCUUGGCCAUCACGCUGGGAAGGCCCACCUCUAAAUACCGUUGCAUUGGAAAUUAAAUUUCAACCUGAAUUUUGGAAGAGACACAAACCUUCAAACCAUAGCACCAGCACUGGAUCAGCAAGACUGGAUUAGACCACUGGGCUCAUAUCUGCACCGUGGGGAGUAGGGGAACAGUCGCAAACAAAAGUGGGGCUCUU
Molecule: unclassified non-coding RNA, 564 nt
Filed under: Homo sapiens (human)
Lineage: Eukaryota; Metazoa; Chordata; Mammalia; Primates; Hominidae
Description: solute carrier family 2 member 11 (ENSG00000275744.4)
Source: RNAcentral